GUCCCCUUCAAGGUCAUGGUAAAGACUGAAGAGGCUAACACAGCCAGGUAAAGGAGUUCUCCAAAAAACCCAGAAAGGAGACUGUACACCUCCUCUUUGGAUCCUGUCUGGAGUCAUAGAU
This 121-nucleotide small nucleolar RNA is filed under the name Meriones unguiculatus (Mongolian gerbil). Its description in RNAcentral is "Small nucleolar RNA SNORA26 (ENSMUGG00000025667.1)". It matches the Rfam family "Small nucleolar RNA SNORA26". Rfam says of the family: The snoRNA HBI-6 belong to the H/ACA family of snoRNAs, guiding the pseudouridylation of position U4522 if the 28S rRNA. Lineage: Eukaryota; Metazoa; Chordata; Mammalia; Rodentia; Muridae. The record is from RNAcentral.